UACGGAGGGUGCAAGCGUUAUCCGGAUUCACUGGGUUUAAAGGGUGCGUAGGUGGGCAGGUAAGUCAGUGGUGAAAUCUCCGGGCUUAACUCGGAAACUGCCAUUGAUACUAUCUGUCUUGAAUACCGUGGAGGUCAGCGGAAUAUGUCAUGUAGCGGUGAAAUGCUUAGAUAUGACAUAGAACACCAAUUGCGAAGGCAGCUGGCUACACGAAUAUUGACACUAAUGCACGAAAGCGUGGGGAUCAAACAGG
This 253-nucleotide ribosomal RNA is filed under the name uncultured bacterium. Its description in RNAcentral is "partial 16S ribosomal RNA". It matches the Rfam family "Bacterial small subunit ribosomal RNA", at positions 524 to 776 of the family's 1533-position model. The record is from RNAcentral.